UGGGGAAUAUUGGACAAUGGGCGAAAGCCUGAUCCAGCCAUGCCGCGUGUGUGAAGAAGGUCUUCGGAUUGUAAAGCACUUUAAGUUGGGAGGAAGGGCAGUAAGCGAAUACCUUGCUGUUUUGACGUUACCGACAGAAUAAGCACCGGCUAACUCUGUGCCAGCAGCCGCGGUAAUACAGAGGGUGCAAGCGUUAAUCGGAAUUACUGGGCGUAAAGCGCUCGUAGGUGGUUCGUUAAGUUGAAUGUGAAAGCCCCGGGCUCAACCUGGGAACUGCAUCCAAAACUGGCGAGCUAGAGUAGGGCAGAGGGUGGUGGAAUUUCCUGUGUAGCGGUGAAAUGCGUAGAUAUAGGAAGGAACACCAGUGGCGAAGGCGACCACCUGGGCUCAUACUGACACUGAGGUGCGAAAGCGUGGGGAGCAAACAGG
RNAcentral lists this ribosomal RNA (429 nucleotides) under Pseudomonadota bacterium. RNAcentral's name for it is "Proteobacteria bacterium partial 16S ribosomal RNA". It matches the Rfam family "Bacterial small subunit ribosomal RNA", at positions 355 to 776 of the family's 1533-position model. Lineage: Bacteria; Pseudomonadati; Pseudomonadota. The record is from RNAcentral.